This 495-nucleotide ribosomal RNA is filed under the name uncultured bacterium. Its description in RNAcentral is "partial 16S ribosomal RNA". It matches the Rfam family "Bacterial small subunit ribosomal RNA", at positions 28 to 507 of the family's 1533-position model. The record is from RNAcentral.
GACGAACGCUGGCGGCGUGCCUAAUACAUGCAAGUAGAACGCUGAAGGAGGAGCUUGCUUCUCUGGAUGAGUUGCGAACGGGUGAGUAACGCGUAGGUAACCUGCCUGGUAGCGGGGGAUAACUAUUGGAAACGAUAGCUAAUACCGCAUAAGAGUAGAUGUCGCAUGACAUUUGCUUAAAAGGUGCAAUUGCAUCACUACCAGAUGGACCUGCGUUGUAUUAGCUAGUUGGUGAGGUAACGGCUCACCAAGGCAACGAUACAUAGCCGACCUGAGAGGGUGAUCAGCCACACUGGGACUGAGACACGGCCCAGACUCCUACGGGAGGCAGCAGUAGGGAAUCUUCGGCAAUGGACGGAAGUCUGACCGAGCAACGCCGCGUGAGUGAAGAAGGUUUUCGGAUCGUAAAGCUCUGUUGUAAGAGAAGAACGAGUGUGAGAGUGGAAAGUUCACACUGUGACGGUAUCUUACCAGAAAGGGACGGCUAACUACGUG